ACAAAUUAUUUAGGCCCCUGGCUGCCCCAAAAGGGCGAAGGGGGGGAAACCUAAACAUUUGUGUGCACCAUAUCUGUCUUUGGCAGUUCGAGUGUCUUGGGUGCGUAACUGCCUCAAGGACCUACCGAGGCUUUCCUUUCGGGGUUUGCCAGAGUUGGGCUGCCGCUUUUUUUGAACAAACCUUUUGUUGUUUUUGUUUUGACUGAAUUUGUUUGAUCUUUAUGAUUGAAUUUAAAUA
This 238-nucleotide unclassified non-coding RNA is filed under the name uncultured Rhizophlyctis. RNAcentral's name for it is "sequence contains ITS1". The record is from RNAcentral. Lineage: Eukaryota; Fungi; Chytridiomycota; Chytridiomycetes; Spizellomycetales; Spizellomycetaceae.